GUCUGAUGGGUCAGUAUCUUGUUUAUUUAUUAUUGGUAUUAUUGUUACUGAAAUAAUAUUGUGCUUGUUAAAUGUGGGUCUCACGGAAAUGUUGGUUUCUAUAGAGAUCUGUCAUGUGAAUCACUGGAGAGGGAGAGCACCUUGAAUGCACCUGAAGCUCUAGAGCAAAGUUUGCAUAAUAUGAAUGUCCAGAGCGAACCACACAUGAUGGAUGAAAGUGAAUUCAAUGACCUAAGAAACAGUGUUAUUGACUGGGGGACAGAUGAAGAGGACGAUGAGAACCAUGAUAAGGACGACAACAGCCAUGAUGAGGACGAUAAUAGCCAAGAUGAGGAUUACGUACCUCAUAUUAGUAUAAGGAUUGGUGGAGCACUGCCACAUCGUGCAUUGACAGUCUGCCCAUUAUCAGCAUGAGCGAUGU
Molecule: long non-coding RNA, 421 nt
Organism: Alosa sapidissima (American shad)
Lineage: Eukaryota; Metazoa; Chordata; Actinopteri; Clupeiformes; Clupeidae
Exons: 4
Source: RefSeq, a predicted model, not a curated record